UCGAGGACAGGAGGACAGAGGAAGCCGUAUGAGGGUUUAGGGUUUAGGUCGAGGACAGAGGAAGCAGUAUGAGGGUUUAGGGUUUAGGUCAAGGACAGGAGGACAGAGGAAGCCGUAUGAGGGUUUAGGGUUUAGGUCGAGGACAGAUGAAGCAGUAUGAGGGUUUAGGGUUUAAGUCGAGGACAGGAGGACAGAGGAAGCAGUAUGAGGGUUUAGGGUUUAGGUCGAGGACAGAGGAAGCAGUAUGAGGGUUUAGGGUUUAGAUCAAGGACAGAGGAUGCAGUAUGAGGGUUUAGGUCAAGGACAGGAGGACAGAGGAAGCAGUAUGAGGGUUUAGGGUUUAGGUAAAGGACAGGAGGACAGAGGAAGCCGUAUGAGGGUUUAGGGUUUAGGAAGAGGACAGAGGAAGUAGUAUGAGGGUUUAGGUCAAGGACAGGAGGACAGAGGAAGCAGCAUGAGGGUUUAGGGUUUAGGUCAAGGACAGGAGGACAGAGGAAGCCGUAUGAGGGUUUAGGUCGAGGACAGAGGAAGCAGUAUGAGGGUUUAGGGUUUAGGUCAAGGACAGGAGGACAGAGGAAGCCGUAUGAGGGUUUAGGGUUUAGGUCGAGGACAGAGGAAGCAGUAUGAGGGUUUAGGUCAAGGACAGCAGGACAGAGGAAGCAGUAUGAGGGUUUAGGGUAUAGAUCAAGGACAGAGGAAGCCGUAUGAGGGUUUAGGGUUUAGGUCGAGGACAGGAGGACAGAGGAAGCCGUAUGAGGGUUUAGGGUUUAGGUCGAGGACAGAGGAAGCAGUAUGAGGGUUUAGGGUUUAGGUCAAGGACAGGAGGACAGAGGAAGCAGUAUGAGGGUUUAGGGUUUAGGUAAAGGACAGGAGGACAGAGGAAGCCGUAUGAGGGUUUAGGGUUUAGGUCGAGGACAGAGGAAGCAGUAUGAGGGUUUAGGGUUUAGGUCAAGGACAGGAGGACAGAGGAAGCAGCAUGAGGGUUUAGGGUUUAGGUCAAGGACAGGAGGACAGAGGAAGCCGUAUGAGGGUUUAGGUCGAGGACAGAGGAAGCAGUAUGAGGGUUUAGGGUUUAGGUCAAGGACAGGAGGACAGAGGAAGCCGUAUGAGGGUUUAGGGUUUAGGUCGAGGACAGAGGAAGCAGUAUGAGGGUUUAGGUCAAGGACAGCAGGACAGAGGAAGCAGUAUGAGGGUUUAGGGUAUAGAUCAAGGACAGAGGAAGCCGUAUGAGGGUUUAGGGUUUAGGUCGAGGACAGGAGGACAGAGGAAGCCGUAUGAGGGUUUAGGGUUUAGGUCGAGGACAGAGGAAGCAGUAUGAGGGUUUAGGGUUUAGGUCAAGGACAGGAGGACAGAGGAAGCAGUAUGAGGGUUUAGGGUUUAGGUCAAGGACAGGAGGACAGAGGAAGCAGUAUGAGGGUUUAGGGUUUAGGUCAAGGACAGGAGGACAGAGGAAGCAGUAUGAGGGUUUAGGGUUUAGGUCAAGGACAGGAGGACAGAGGAAGCCGUAUGAGGGUUUAGGUCGAGGACAGAGGAAGCAGUAUGAGGGUUUAGGGUUUAGGUCAAGGACAGGAGGACAGAGGAAGCAGUAUGAGGGUUUAGGGUUUAGGUAAAGGACAGGAGGACAGAGGAAGCCGUAUGAGGGUUUAGGGUUUAGGUCAAGGACAGGAGGACAGAGGAAGCAGCAUGAGGGUUUAGGUCAAGGACAGGAGGACAGAGGAAGCCGUAUGAGGGUUUAGGUCGAGGACAGAGGAAGCAGUAUGAGGGUUUAGGGUUUAGGUCAAGGACAGGAGGACAGAGGAAGCCGUAUGAGGGUUUAGGGUUUAGGUCGAGGACAGAGGAAGCAGUAUGAGGGUUUAGGUCAAGGACAGCAGGACAGAGGAAGCAGUAUGAGGGUUUAGGGUAUAGAUCAAGGACAGAGGAAGCCGUAUGAGGGUUUAGGGUUUAGGUCGAGGACAGGAGGACAGAGGAAGCCGUAUGAGGGUUUAGGGUUUAGGUCGAGGACAGGAGGACAGAGGAAGCCGUAUGAGGGUUUAGGUCGAGGACAGAGGAAGCAGUAUGAGGGUUUAGGGUUUAGGUCAAGGACAGGAGGACAGAGGAAGCCGUAUGAGGGUUUAGGGUUUAGGUCAAGGACAGAGGAAGCAGUAUGAGGGUUUAGGGUUUAGGUCGAGGACAGGAGGACAGAGGAAGCAGUAUGAGGGUUUAGGGUUUAGGUCGAGGACAGAGGAAGCAGUAUGAGGGUUUAGGGUUUAGAUCAAGGACAAAGGAAGCAGUAUGAGGGUUUAGGGUUUAGAUCAAGGACAGAGGAAGCAGUAUGAGGGUUUAGGGUUUAGAUCAAGGACAGAGGAAGCUGUAUGAGGGUUUAGGGUUUAGGUCGAGGACAGAGGAAGCAGUAUGAGGGUUUAGG
Long non-coding RNA from Oncorhynchus keta (chum salmon), 2404 nucleotides. RefSeq lists it as uncharacterized. Lineage: Eukaryota; Metazoa; Chordata; Actinopteri; Salmoniformes; Salmonidae. The transcript is spliced from 3 exons. The record is from RefSeq and is a predicted model, not a curated record.